Long non-coding RNA from Thunnus maccoyii (southern bluefin tuna), 1776 nucleotides. RefSeq lists it as uncharacterized. NCBI's taxonomy places the organism in Eukaryota, Metazoa, Chordata, Actinopteri, Scombriformes, Scombridae. The record is from RefSeq and is a predicted model, not a curated record. The transcript has 2 exons.
UCUCAAGGCUGAAUGCGCCUGUCUUACUCGUCUUUGUCCUCGCUCCUUCAGAGGGGGGAAAAAAAGAGAAGAACGGGUGACCAUUCAUUCUGGAUCUGCACCUGUUGAGUGGAGCGUACGUCUUUCCCGUUUUACGUCUUGAAUUUACAGCCCUCAGCUGGAGGGACGACCUUUCACUCCGCCUCUAUGGGAGAGCCACAGCAGCUGUGAUGACUUCACUGGCUCCUUGUGUAAAAAUACAUUGAGGAGAGGCUCUCUGUGCACCUUGAACCUGAUAGCAGCCUGAUUUGACACGGCGCUUCCAUCAGCUGUUAGCUUCUAUCUCAUUGAACCUUUUUCAAAGAAAUAAAAAAGGUUGCAUUCAUGUCUCCUUGUGCUUGUGUUGUGGUCUCAUUUGUAUCCAUUCAUUCGACUCAAAGAGGAGGCAGGAAGAGACCACUAAAAUGCCCCCACGCUUUCAGAUGUGUGGUCCAAGGCAACAGAAAAUGGACUAAUACUUUUUUUAUGAGGCUAGCAGCUGUGUGAAGAGAAACAUUAGCAACGCUGACUCAUUACAAAGAGUAGCUGAAAAGUCCCUGCCAAUUUAUUUCUGUUUUGGCAGUGAAAGAAGCAAUGUAGCACACUUCCACUGGAUAACAGCGUGUCAGUAUGAGAAGAAAUCUCAGCUUUGUAAAUGGAUGAUUUUAGGAAGUGCCCCAUUACCCGGCAGCUCCUCUUGCCUGCUGGCUUUCCUCUGGAGCAGCUGUCGGUCAGCGUGUCAGUGGGUAAUCUCUGAAAUACAGAUUGCUAAUGAGCCUGGAGCUCUUGAAGAAGGCCUGGCCCUGCACUCGGCAUCACACAGCGCUAAGUGAUGAGGUUGCCCUGCUGCAUCCGGAGGAUGAGGAAGGAUAGUUUGGGUCGUCUGAAGAUCACGGGUGGUGGUGGAGAGUGUUGCAGACCCUCAUGUAGUCCUAUGUCUUACUGCAGCUGUUGCACUCACAGAGGACCGAAGAUACUGAUCUGAAUGGGAAGGAUGCAAAGGUGGAAGCAGUGUUGGAUUCGGUUUCACUGCGUCUUAAUGGAACACACACACACACACACACACACACACACACACACACACACACACACACACACACAGAGACACACACACACAGGCUGCAUGGUUUUUUAAUACUAUCUACUUCCCCUUUCUUUGAGAGGACACAGAUACACCCUGAAUGGGCCCCUAUGCUGCUCUACAUUGUGGUUGGGAAGUACCUAGUGUUACAACUGUCAUGCUGGUCUGCUUAAAGGGACAGUACUGUCUUUUUUUUAAUACGCACUAUUACUCCUCUCAGGUCUUUUCAGUUACAGCAACACAGUUGGAUCUUUUAUUUUGUAGGCUUAAAUCUGAGGGAGCAAUUUGUCUGUGCAGAGUUUAGGAGUCUUAUUAUAUAUAUAUAGCAGAAUUUAUUGACACUAGUGCUCUGAACUUCACAUAAACUCACUUAAAAAAGAAAGUAAAUGAGGUGAACCUAUUGGGAUUUCUUCUCAUGCUCUUGUGAAAAAGAAAUAGAGAAGUAUUUCCAAAUUCUUGCAACGUGACAAAUCUAUAAUUGUUAGAGUCAUGAGAGUAAGUUGUUUAAACACAUACAGUAGAAGUGUACAGUAAGAGGAAUGGAAUUUGUUUUGCGUUAAUCUCUAAAAAAAACAUACUUUCAUAUACUUUGUGCACGUUUGUGUGGGCACGUUACGCUGUUGAAUGUUUUGAAAAUGCGGCACACUUGUCUGAAUAAAAAUUUUUUCAGUCUGGCA